ACAGAGGGUGCGAGCGUUGUCCGGAAUCACUGGGCGUAAAGGGCGCGUAGGUGGCGCUCCAAGUCUGUGGUGAAAGCUCGAUGCUCAACAUCGAGUCGGCCAUAGAGACUGGAGGGCUCGAGCACUGUAGGGGCAGAUGGAAUUCCGGGUGUAGCGGUGGAAUGCGUAGAGAUCCGGAAGAACACCGGUGGCGAAGGCGGUCUGCUGGGCAGUUGCUGACACUGAGGCGCGACAGCGUGGGGAGCAAACAGGA
This 253-nucleotide ribosomal RNA is filed under the name uncultured prokaryote. RNAcentral's name for it is "partial 16S ribosomal RNA". It matches the Rfam family "Bacterial small subunit ribosomal RNA", at positions 525 to 777 of the family's 1533-position model. The record is from RNAcentral.